Molecule: long non-coding RNA, 1880 nt
Filed under: Trifolium pratense (red clover)
Lineage: Eukaryota; Viridiplantae; Streptophyta; Magnoliopsida; Fabales; Fabaceae
Description: long non-coding RNA (TPRA_LNC013296)
Source: RNAcentral
ACAGACAUUAAUACCGAACACAUUGUGAGCAAGGUUUUUGAGAUUUCUGCGACCACAUCCUAAUCGCAAAUGAAACACGGACACAAACAUGAAUACCGAACACGACCAUAGCAAUUUGAGAAUAUGAAAUAUUUUAAUAUAAUCACAUGUGUCAGUAUCCUAUCAGUGUCGAACACCGGACGCAUCUUUCGAGUAAAGUCACAUAUUCACAGAUCACAAUUGCACAUCAACAAAGACAAUGACAUAAUCAUAACCGCGACUACAAUUUAAAACCUCGAUUGUGAAAUCAAAUAUAAUGUGUGAUCUCUCAAUUUUGAAUUACCAUGUUCAAGAAUCCUAUUUGAAAUUCUAAGCAGAAAAAUGGUAUACAACAUAUUGAUAUUAACGUAAUACAAUCACAGUAUAAAAUACAUUCAAAUUGACUGAGACCACUUGGUCAAAGUGAGAUGAUAUUUCCUUGAAAAACAAAUCACAUAAUACAUUAUGAACAAGUUAGAUACCAAAAUAUGUUUUACAACAUGCCAUGGAAAGUGGGCUUGGUAACAAAAUAGUCAAUUAAAAAGAAUAAAACUAAACUUACAGAUCUGGAAAAGCAUUGGCUACAUAAUCACAUUCAGUUUCUCUCCAUCAUAUCUCUAUUUUCUUCUUGGCUAAAUAAGUCAUACUCCAACGUAUAUAAAUGUUUGAAAACUCAUCCUUCAUUUGGUUCUUGACACCAAUGCGACCAUCUUUGGUAGCCACAACAGUUGGUUGUGAUGUUCCAACUGCCAUAAUUUCUUCCUACAAAAAUAAAUCCACAAAAAUAAUCAAAUUCAUGUUUCCCAUAGCUGUUUGAUUUGAACACAAAUAAGAUUACUAAUGGUUUAUCUUUAUCCCCAUACACAUGGCGCUUAAUCUAAUCUCAGCCGCACAACCUAAUAUAGAAAUAUAACAACCAAAAAGCAUUUUAAUUAUGACAUGGUAAAGAGAAAGCCCAAAAAAAAUUGUCAAACUGAGACUACAAAGUAGAAUGCCACAAGUAGAUUAUAUUGAACGGUCCACAUUAAUGCAACUCUCAUUUACAAAAUUUUGCUUUCUAGAAAUGUCAUAAGUAGUUAUCACUCAAAAAGAAACAAGGCCUUGAUCAUAUCCACAACAUCAAACAUAUCAAUGACAACAAGAUUAAGUUAAAAUCAAAUGAACAUACACAAUUUCUGGCUCUCAAAUAUUUAUGUAAACAAUGGAAAGUUCACACAUUCUCACCUGGCUAGAUUGUAUAACACAAGCUUCAAUCAUGUUCAACAAAAAUAAUGAGAAUCAUCAUAGGACAAACAACACAUUUCAAGAACAUGUUGAGUUCCUAAGCAUAUUUCAAACAUUAAUCAAAAGUUGACAUAAAGCUCUACGAAUCAAAAUUAUCAUGCUUGCUCAUUGAUUUAUCACAAACCUGUCUUUCGGAUCUUCAAAAGCAUGUGAGCUUGUUUUCAAAAAGUAUUCACAAUAUUCACAAUACUAACUACUUACUAAUAUAAUAUAAAUUACCAAAUGUCAUUUAAUUCAACAAAAUAAAUAAAAAAUAAAUAAAACACCAAGUACUACAUGUUCAGAGUACCUAUUCAAAAUUUCACAAACAUCAUGAAUCUAACAUAUUCAAAAUUAGUCAACUGAAAUUAAAGACUGAAUUAAUAAUAAUAAUAAAAACUGUAAAAGUUCACUGGGAUUGGCGUGCUUUAAGCUCCAUGCUCUCCUCCAUCUUGCUCAUUAUUAUCUCCAACUUCAACAUCAUUUUGAUGAGCUUCCCCCUCCAGUACAUGUGGACUGACCCUGGGCCAUUUAACAAAUGCAGCAAAGAUCUCAAGUGUAGGCCGAGCAAAAGGAAUUGUUGUGCCUUGCUGCAUNNN